CAGUCCCGGGGAAUGACUGUUCAACCUGACUUCAAUCAUAUGUCCACCUCUCUAUGAUCAGAUCUGUUAACAGAAGACAUGGCAGGGAAGAGAAAUAAUAACCAAUAUAAUGGGUGGUACAAUGUUAAAAUAUAUAUAUACUUGAGAAAAUAAUAAAUAAUAGGAAUAAAAAUCACAUUCUAUAAAAACCAAAUGCAUAUAGACAGCCAACUAUAUCGAAAGUUUAGGACAAAUAAUCCUAUGUUCAAGACAACAUCAGGGUGUGUUUAAACAGUUUAGAACUCUUCUUAAACCCGGCCCCCUCUUUCCUUCUAUUACUUUUUCCUCUAAAUAUAUUGCCUUCUAGUUGUUGGCCAAAUAUGGGACUGAAAUAUGUUUAAAUAUAUUGAAAUUAAUCAGUAAAGACUUGCUUACACUCUUUGCAGAUUUUAAAUCAGGAGAUUUUUAAAACCAUUUCAAACCUCACUAAGCUUUUUGUUUUGUUUACACAGAGGAUUCCCCAUGUCUCAUAAGCUUAAAGAAAAAAAAAUUAUUCAAUAGACCAGUCAAAUGGAAGAGGCUUUUAUUUGUAAAGAAAUGAACUUACAACUGAUCUACAAUAUAUUAUUGUAAUAUAAACAAUAUAAAUAAAUGAUCCUGUAGGCCCACUAAUCUUCCAUCCAGACCCACAUGAAGCAAUGUUACAACAAUAUUCUAUAUGAAAAUGUGCAGGUAACAAAGGUGCAAUUACAAGCAAGUUAAGCAGCAGAGUAUAAGGUGCUUUAAUUUAAUAGUUAAUGUUGCCAUCAACAAACAUUUAAAUGCUCAAUUUACUUCACUGAAUACAGACACAACAAAUAUGAAAAUCUAAAUUCAUACACAUGCUACUUAAUAUGAAAGUGCUUUCUCUUUUUUAAAAAAAUACACCAAAUGGACACUUUUUACAUAGAUCAAAUGUGCUCUUACAAUGCAAAAUUAACCUUCAUUUUCAGGUUAUACAUUUUAAAACUGUAGCUAUCAACACCAAUCUAGGAACUCUAAUGCUAAGAGUGCUAAAAACUAUUUCAUUUCUUGUAAGGAGGACUCUAAUACAAUAUCCAAUGUAAAGAAUACAUCUAUAUAUAAUCUUAACAUGUUUUCUGUAAAGAUAAAAAAUGUUUUCUUUCCCCUUGGUGAUCUUUGUUCAUCCUGGGUGGAUCAUCUUUUGAGGUUUUAAUAAUAUGAAAGUCCUAUUUUAGAACAAUGGGAGGAACCAAAAGGGGAAUUAAAAAAUUGGUUAACGUGUGCUUGAAGCAUCCAAAAAACACCAGUUUAUCACAACAAUUGGUCUUUGCUAAAAUUAACAAAAUUUUAAUAAGCAAGACGACAAAAAGUACUAAUUUAAAAGGCUUGAAAUGCCUGCCACCAUUGUCAGUAUCCAUCCAUCCAACCUUCAUUUACUACAAGCACAAUACUACUUUGAGGAUAGUUUUUGGAACUUAUUUUGACUUUUUUCCCUAUAGGAAAAACAAAGACCAAGCUUUUGAAGGAGAGGACUGGGAAUCUAGUUUAAAUGUCUACAUCCAAAAUUAUAUCAUCUUUGCGCAUUCAGUUGACUUUUUAAAAUUUAAGAAUACAUAUACAAAAAGUACUUAUGGAAUACAUAUUUUAACAGCAUAACAUAUUUGAAGAAUUAGUUACACUUUAAAAAUUAAAACACUUGAAAAGUAUUUUUUAAACCAGUACCAUGGAAUAACUUUUUGAAACCCAGAUUAUCUGGCUACUUAGAUGAUAGUCUUCCUGUUUUCAAUUAGUUUGAAAGAUUCUAAUAUAGAUUCUAACCCAACAGUUUAUAUGGAUAUUUUCCUGCUUUAAAAAGCUGCAACAGGCUAGGCGCAGUGGCUCAUGCCUAUAAUCCCGGCACUUUGGGAGGCUGAGGUGGGCGGAUCACUUGAGGUCAGGAGUUCGAGUCCAGCCUGGCCAACAUGGUGAAACCCCAUCUCUACUAAAAAUACAAAAAACUGGCCAGGCAUAGUGGUGCAUGCCAGUAAUCCCAGCUACUUGGGAGGCCAAGGUGGGAGAAUCUAUUGAACCUGGGAGGUGGAGGUUGCAUUGAGCCAAGAUCACACCGCUGCACUCAAGCCUGGGUGACAGUGAGACUCUGUCUCAAAACAAACAAAACAAAAAAGCUAAAACAAUGAUAAACUAUUUUUAAUAGAUAUUUUCAUUCUAUAUCUUUAUGGAGAAUGUCAGUAUCAACUGAUGUUAACAAGUAAAGCUUUGUCAACAGGAAUUACAAUGUGAUUCACAGAUCCCAGAAUGACAAGGAAGGGACCUUAACCCAAUAAAUGAUUCUCCCAUUCAAUGUUUACCCCCUAGAUACUUAACAAUUCAAGCAUGGAACUGUUUCAUGUUUACCCGUUCUACAUUUAAAGGAUGCCCUUUUACUAUAUAUGUGCUUUCUAGAAUAUUACUGAUUCUUACAUAUCUUUAAAAGUUGGAUAUUUGUAAUAGCUUAAAGUACAGUAACACUUAUUUUGUGUAAUCUUUCUUAAUUUAAAAACAAAAAAUAAAUGAACAAGUCAGUUCCAAUGAUCUCCUUUGAGAUUUUUCAGUUUUAGAAAGUUGCUACACUGUCGGACAGGUGUGGUGGCUCAUGCCUGUAAUCCCAGCACUUAGGGAGGCCAAGGCAGGUGGAUCACUUGAGGUCAAGAGUUCGAGACUAGCCUGGCCAACAUGGUGAAGCCCCGUCUCUACUAAAAAUACAAAAAUUAGCCAGGUGUGGCGGCGGGCACCUGUAAUUCCAGCUACUUGGAAGGCUGAGGCAAGACUAAAAAAUUCUUUCUAAAACAGGUUGAUGUUUAACUUCACUAAUGACUAGACACCCCACCACUCUCUCAUAAACACCAACUUUUUCACCACCAUCACUUAAAGCUCCACAAAGCUUGGAUUUAACACUGAUAAUAUUCCAUGAAAUAUAACUUUUAAGCCAAUAAGUGAUGGUGACUAUCAAUCCUUAAGAUGAUUACUGGAGUAAAUUUAAACAGGUGCUCUAAAAGAACUUACUACCUUACUCUUAUAUUUAAUUAACACCUUGCCAUGUUAGUAUAACAGUGUUUUCAAAUUAUGUUGUUUUCAAAACUGAAAUUCAUUCAUUACUCUGCUUUUUUUAAACAACAAAUUUUGUUUUCUUUCUAUGGAUUCAUACUGAACACCACCAGUAUCACUGAGAGGACUAGUACUUGUAAAAAGCAGUAGAAACAAAAAUAUUUUUCAAAAGUAUAAAGCUAGCUAGAACCUCACUAUGUUGUACCUCUAACAUUUCCGAUUAAAAUUGUCAUCUUUAAGUAAAAUUAAAUGUCAACAAACUAUAAAAGGGAAAAAAUAAAACAUCUGGAAAACAUUUCCCAAAUGUUCCCAUAAACAUGACACUUGGAAGGGGUGUGUGCAUGUGUCUGAGUAGAAAAGCUGAUCUUCAGAGCUGAAAAGGAGGGCAGAGAUUCUCCCUUAAUGUAUGUUUUCUAAAUUGAAAGUUUAGAAAAAGCCAUAUUCUCUGGAAUGUGAUGGUAAUAAUUAUAUUUGUAUUAUUUGUAUUAAUGCUUUACAACUUUCAAAAAAAAGCUUUCUCAUAGUACAAUUUUAAAACGGAUUAGGUUCUAAAAACUAAUAUGUAAAACUUUGAAAAUUCUUAAAAAUUUAGGAAAUUCUUUUUCCAAAGAAGGUAAUCUAAUUUUAAAUUUAUUUGAAGAAAGCUUAUAUAACUACUGUGAACAAAACUAUAUGAUACAUUUUAUGAACUUCUAAUAAAAGAGGACGUAUCUUCCCAAAUAAUUUUUUGUUUUGUUUUUUUGAGAUGGAGUCUCGCUCUGUCACCCAGGCUGGAGUGCAGGGGUGUGAUCUUGGCUCACUGCAACCUCCACCACCUGGGUUCAAGCAAUUCUCCUGUCUCAGCCUCCCAAGUAGCUGGAAUUACAGGUGCAUGCCACCACACCCAGCUAAUUUUUGUGUUUUUAGUAGAGAUAGGGUUUCACCAUAUUGGUCAGGCUGGUCUCGAACUCCUGACCUCAGGUGAUCUACCCACCUCAGCCUCCCAAAGUGCUGGGAUUACAGGUGUGAGCCACCAUGCCCAGCCCCAAAUAAUUUCUUUUAAGAUAUACAGCUUAACAAGUUGAAAUUUUAGUAAGAUUGCAUAUUUACUUUUCCUAAUACUGUAUUUGUGCUUAUCUAAAGUGGAUCACAAUCUUUGAGAUGAAAUUAAAUGCUCCAAGUAGAUUUGUAAAAUACCAAUAUUGAUGAAUGUGGGUAAACAGUUCAUUUCAUGAUCCACACUGCUGUGAACCAAAGAAGCAGAGGUAGGCUUGUGUUUACUGAAAUCCAGACUAGGAAAGAGAAACCUAUAGCUCUUCUUUUCCCAAUUCUUAGACUGAGACACAACCUAGCAAAUAAAAUACUAUCUUAAAAUGCCUCUCUUUAUAACAAUCUACAGAGGUGAUUCAACUGUGAUAUCUGAAAAUGGAAACUCUGUAAUUCUGGCAACUCAAUUACAACAACCUUUGAAUUUUUGACAAAUAUUCUCCAACUGUAAUAAAAGGUUCUCACCUUUUUCAGAAAUCAAAAAUCACUAACUUCUACAUCACUGGAACUAUUAAUAUCCAUGCUCCCAAGCAUGGAGACAGUGGGUAUAGAGAGUGAAAGAAUGAGUCUGAUUACAGGUAAAUCUUGACAUAUAAAAACUAUAACCUAUUUACUGCUAUAACUGGCAUCUAACAAAACGCAUUAUUUUGAACUAUGGAUGAAAGCCAUAUCUAUCCUAAAUAUCUUCUAUCCUCUUGGGUCUAGAAUGCUUUGUUCCUCCUACUUGUCUCCUCCUCUACUUCCCUAUCCUUCCCCCUAGAAAACCUUCCUUAGGGCCCAGCUAGUUACAUAUGUAGUACACAAGAUAGAGAUUGAGCAAUCAUUUUGCAUAGAUGCGCCAGUUUCCACUGCCCAAAGGUUGCUCUGGAACAUGACUGUCAGGUAUCAGAAAGUCCUGCCCCAGCUGCCUCCCUUCCUAAAGUUAGCCCCCAUACGAAAUCCUCUCUAAGGAUUCUGAGACAAAGAUCUCUCCAAGAAAGAAGUUUUCAUGGUUUUCUUGGAGCUAGAGGCCUUAGAGAGGUAGUGAGAUGAGGCCCUUUCAUGCCAUUAGCUAAUGCUCAAUGCCAGUAGGCUGCAUGUGUUCCUGCAAUCCACCAAGGUGAAAACCACAAACUAUAACCAGGCUGUUCUGGCUGAAAAUACAUCUUUAAAACAUUUUAACAGUGUGUCCAGUCAGUUUCAUCCACUGGAUAUGGCUGUCAGGUCAGCAUCACUCACAUACAUCUAUAAUAGUGUAUUCUUUCAAAAAUUGUUUAUACACACUUAAUAUAGGCAUAUAGCCUAAGACUAUAUUGCCUCCCUACCAUACUUGUGCCAUUGUGGUACCAAAAGCCUGAAGAUGUACAUAAUGUACUUUAAGACAUUUAACUGAACAAGUCAGUGGGAGACAGGGCACUAUAACACAUUUCAAUUCAAUCUAAGACUUGUAUUUGUGAAUAGAUGUCUCAUUAUAAUUUUAUACUUGAUACAUGAAGAUAAGCUACGUCAAAAAUUAUUCAAAGGCAUGAUCACAAUAAUACUUGUUUCAUAGUUCUAAGUAUUUUGAUACACCAGGAAACAAAAAUCAACUGGGAUCCCUAAUGAAAGAAAAUUAUUUCUUCUAAGUAAAACAUGAAUUUCACUUCAAAAGUGCAGAAAUGUGCUCAGUGUUGAAGUAGGCUAAGCUAACAAGGAUGAUGGCCUCCUCCUCUGACUCUUCCCAUGCUCAAGCUUUUGCAUUACCAUUUCUCUCCUCCCAUUCCACCUUGUCUACUCCUAGGUGACUGCUCUUAAAACACACCUUUUAAAAAGUUCUGUUUAGAGCAUUCAACAGCAAAGUAACAGGACCAUCAGGGAAAUAAUAUGCUACUUAAAAAGUGACAGGAGGAUUUGGGACAACACUCUAUCUCAUACUAUAUUGACUACUCAAAGCUGCAUAGCUGUGUCUUACACAUGCCUACACAAGGCUUGAUGAAUAUUAAUGUCAUAUAAAAAAUAAUUUUUACAAAUCAGCUCUCUUAGUUGUUUAACUUCCCCAGGAACACAAGGCUUAAAGCAAAAUUUCAAACUUAUGCUUUUUAUCCCAAUGGGACAAAGAGUGCAACACUGCAAGGAAGUCAGAAAAUGCAAACUUAGGUAGCAAAAGUAGGAAGAACCUCCAUGUUCCCUUUCUGUUUGUCAUUAUCUCUCCCCAGUCAAAAUCCUAAAACUAUUAGUAGUAGUAUGAAAGGAUAUGAAAACAAUUUACUCUCCCCACCUAUAUCAUACUGAAACUCUGCUUUAAAGCUCAGGAGAGAGGUGGAUGCUCAGUGUUGUCUAUAUAUCCAUUAUAUAUAGCUGAAGCUUUGAAAUUAAGAUGAUUAACUCAUCUUGAAAGAAACAGCUGCACCAAUGUGAUAGCAAACAAGCCAUUUUUAAAUAAAAACUCACUUGAAAAAAGCAAGUGCAUAUUUUGUGUAUGUUUUGAGUGGGGACAACAGAGAUCUGGACUAGAUUUAAGAUUAUACGGUAUUCUCCAAUAGAAAACCCUCUUGUAAGCCCCUCCUGAAUACUUAAGACAGCAGUAGGCACAGGGGCUUUCAAUAAGUACAGAAUGGCUGCUAUUAGGAAAGAGAACAAAUAAAAGGAGAGCCUACAACACAGUUCAAAAUUGAUACCUUAAAGGCCAUAGGUAAUACAGUUAUAGGAUGUAAUCAUUAUUGCUGGAGCAGUCUAUCCCCAUAUAAUAAAUUUUGUAUUAACCGUGGAUAAUCUAUGAAAAGUUUUAAUUCCAGGCGAGAUUUUCCGUUGCACCUCUCUCUCUCAUACUGUGGGCCAUCUCUUACUAAUGCUUAGCCUGUAUUUGUGUUCUGAAAUUCCAAGAAGAGGGAAAAGUCAAGCAUAUGACAAUUCUGUCAUGAUGAUUAACUGCUAAUAAAUGAAAACUCAUUAUAGAGUACCUAGCUUUCCUUGAUACUUUAAUCCAAUGAUUAAAAAUGUGAUAUAAAGAAAUACGUAACAUAGACUACAAGCUAUCGUAGGUCUGGAACAUGAGCCUUA
This 7110-nucleotide long non-coding RNA is filed under the name Homo sapiens (human). RNAcentral describes it as "HSALNT0063991". The record is from RNAcentral. Lineage: Eukaryota; Metazoa; Chordata; Mammalia; Primates; Hominidae.